This 252-nucleotide ribosomal RNA is filed under the name uncultured bacterium. RNAcentral describes it as "partial 16S ribosomal RNA". It matches the Rfam family "Bacterial small subunit ribosomal RNA", at positions 524 to 776 of the family's 1533-position model. The record is from RNAcentral.
UACGGAGGGUGCAAGCGUUAUCCGGAUUCACUGGGUUUAAAGGGUGCGUAGGUGGGUCUGUAAGUCAGUGGUGAAAUCUCCAAGCUUAACUUGGAACUGCCGUUGAUACUAUAGACCUUGAAUGCUGUGGAGGUGAGCGGAAUAUGUCAUGUAGCGGUGAAAUGCUUAGAUAUGACAUAGAACACCAAUUGCGAAGGCAGCUCACUACCCAGAUAUUACACUGAGGCACGAAAGCCGUGGGGAUCAAACAGG